Molecule: ribosomal RNA, 1360 nt
Filed under: Streptomyces sp.
Lineage: Bacteria; Bacillati; Actinomycetota; Actinomycetes; Kitasatosporales; Streptomycetaceae
Description: bacterial SSU rRNA
Rfam family: Bacterial small subunit ribosomal RNA
Source: RNAcentral
AUCUGGCUCAGGUAGUCGUACAAGGUAACCGUAAAGUUUGAUCGUGGUGAAUAAAGCUCUGUAGCAAGGUGCCCUGAACUCUAGGGAAAAAAACCCUCGAAACGAGGGGUUCUAAUUACCGGAUUAAGACCACCCCGGCCCCAAUGGUCUUCGGUGGUGGAAAAAUCCCGCCGGUGACCAGGAUAAACCCCCGGGCCCUAUCAAGCUUGUUGGGGGGGGUGAUGGCCUACCCAAGGCGAAGAACGGGUAGCCCGCCCUGAAAAGGCGACCCGGCCACCACUGGGAAUGAGACACGGCCCCAGACUCCUUACGGGAGGCAGCCAGUGGGGAAUAUUGCACCAAUGGGCGCAAGCCUGAUGCAAGCGACCCCCGCCUGAGGGAUGACGGCCCUUCGGGUUGUAAACCUCUUUUCAGCAGGGAAGAAGCCCCAAGUGACGGUACCUGCAGAAGAAGCACCGGCUAAAUACGUGCCAGCAGCCGCGGUAAUACGUAGGGUGCAAGCGUUGUCCGGAAUUAUUGGGCGUAAAGAGCUCGUAGGCGGCUUGUCGCGUCGGAUGUGAAAGCCCGGGGCUUAACCCCCGGGUCUGCAUUCGAUACGGGCAGGCUGGAGUUCGCCAGGGGAGAUUGGAAUUCCUGGUGUAGCGGUGAAAUGCGCAGAUAUCAGGAGGAACACCGGUGGCGAAGGCGGAUCUCUGGGCCGAUACUGACGCUGAGGAGCGAAAGCGUGGGGAGCGAACAGGAUUAGAUACCCUGGUAGUCCACGCCGUAAACGUUGGGCACUAGGUGUGGGCGGCAUUCCACGUCGUCCGUGCCGCAGCUAACGCAUUAAGUGCCCCGCCUGGGGAGUACGGCCGCAAGGCUAAAACUCAAAGGAAUUGACGGGGGCCCGCACAAGCGGCGGAGCAUGUGGCUUAAUUCGACGCAACGCGAAGAACCUUACCAAGGCUUGACAUACACCGGGAAACGGCCGGAGACGGUCGCCCCCCUUUGGGGUCGGUGUACAGGUGGGUGCAUGGCCUGUCGUCAGCUCCAGUGUCGUGGAAAUGUUGGGUUUAAGUCCCGCCAACGAAGCGCAACCCUUUGUCCUGUGUUUGCCAGCAACUUCUUCCGAAGGUUGGGGGACUCACGGGGAAAACUGGCCGGGGUUCAACUUCGGAAGGAAAGGUGGGGGACCAACGUCCAAGUCAUUCAUGCCCCCUUUAAGGUCUUGGGGCUGCACACCGUGGCUAACAAUGGCCCCGGUACAAAUGAACCUUGCCAUUGCCCCUUGAGGGUUGGAAGCCGAAUCUUCAAAGAAAGCCGGGGUCUCCAGUUUCCGGAAUUGGGGGGUCUGGCAACUCCCGACCCCCCAUGUAUUAGU